RNAcentral lists this ribosomal RNA (1343 nucleotides) under uncultured bacterium. RNAcentral describes it as "16S ribosomal RNA". It matches the Rfam family "Bacterial small subunit ribosomal RNA", at positions 28 to 1378 of the family's 1533-position model. The record is from RNAcentral.
GACGAACGCUGGCGGCGUGCUUAACACAUGCAAGUCGAACGGAAAGGCCCUGCUUUUGUGGGGUGCUCGAGUGGCGAACGGGUGAGUAACACGUGAGUAACCUGCCCUUGACUUUGGGAUAACUUCAGGAAACUGGGGCUAAUACCGGAUAGGAGCUCCUGCUGCAUGGUGGGGGUUGGAAAGUUUCGGCGGUUGGGGAUGGACUCGCGGCUUAUCAGCUUGUUGGUGGGGUAGUGGCUUAUCAAGGCUUUGACGGGUAGCCGGCCUGAGAGGGUGACCGGCCACAUUGGGACUGAGAUACGGCCCAGACUCCUACGGGAGGCAGCAGUGGGGAAUAUUGCACAAUGGGCGGAAGCCUGAUGCAGCAACGCCGCGUGCGGGAUGACGGCCUUCGGGUUGUAAACCGCUUUCGCCUGUGACGAAGCGUGAGUGACGGUAAUGGGUAAAGAAGCACCGGCUAACUACGUGCCAGCAGCCGCGGUGAUACGUAGGGUGCGAGCGUUGUCCGGAUUUAUUGGGCGUAAAGGGCUCGUAGGUGGUUGAUCGCGUCGGAAGUGUAAUCUUGGGGCUUAACCCUGAGCGUGCUUUCGAUACGGGUUGACUUGAGGAAGGUAGGGGAGAAUGGAAUUCCUGGUGGAGCGGUGGAAUGCGCAGAUAUCAGGAGGAACACCAGUGGCGAAGGCGGUUCUCUGGGCCUUUCCUGACGCUGAGGAGCGAAAGCGUGGGGAGCGAACAGGCUUAGAUACCCUGGUAGUCCACGCUGUAAACGGUGGGUACUAGGUGUGGGGUCCAUUCCACGGGUUCCGUGCCGUAGCUAACGCUUUAAGUACCCCGCCUGGGGAGUACGGCCGCAAGGCUAAAACUCAAAGGAAUUGACGGGGCCCCGCACAAGCGGCGGAGCAUGCGGAUUAAUUCGAUGCAACGCGUAGAACCUUACCUGGGUUUGACAUGGAUCGGGAGUGCUCAGAGAUGGGUGUGCCUCUUUUGGGGUCGGUUCACAGGUGGUGCAUGGCUGUCGUCAGCUCGUGUCGUGAGAUGUUGGGUUAAGUCCCGCAACGAGCGCAACCCUUGUUCACUGUUGCCAGCACGUUAUGGUGGGGACUCAGUGGAGACCGCCGGGGUCAACUCGGAGGAAGGUGGGGAUGACGUCAAGUCAUCAUGCCCCUUAUGUCCAGGGCUUCACGCAUGCUACAAUGGCUGGUACAGAGAGUGGCGAGCCUGUGAGGGUGAGCGAAUCUCGGAAAGCCGGUCUCAGUUCGGAUUGGGGUCUGCAACUCGACCUCAUGAAGUCGGAGUCGCUAGUAAUCGCAGAUCAGCAACGCUGCGGUGAAUACGUUCCCGGG